Molecule: ribosomal RNA, 450 nt
Filed under: uncultured Anaerolineaceae bacterium
Lineage: Bacteria; Bacillati; Chloroflexota; Anaerolineae; Anaerolineales; Anaerolineaceae
Description: bacterial SSU rRNA
Rfam family: Bacterial small subunit ribosomal RNA
Source: RNAcentral
GGCCCGCACAAGCAGCGGAGCGUGUGGUUUAAUUCGAUGCUACACGAAGAACCUUACUGGGUUUGACAUAAUGGUGUAGGGAUCCGAAAGGUGACCGACCUUUCGGGGAGCCAUUUACAGGUGUUGCAUGGCUGUCGUCAGCUCGUGUCGUGAGAUGUUCGGUUAAGUCCGCUAACGAGCGCAACCCUCGCUGUGUGUUAUAUGUGUCACACAGGACUGCUUGGUAUUAAGCCGGAGGAAGGUGGGACGACGUCAAGUCAGCAUGACCUUUAUAUCCAGGGCUACACACACGCUACAAUGGUCAGUACAAUGGGUUGCCAAGCCGCGAGGCGGAGCCAAUCCUAAAAAGCUGGCCUCAGUUCAGAUUGCAGUCUGAAACUCGACUGCAUGAAGUCGGAGUUGCUAGUAAACGCAGGUCAGCUAUACUGCGUUGAAUACGUUCCCGGGCUU